This 344-nucleotide unclassified non-coding RNA is filed under the name soil metagenome. RNAcentral's name for it is "partial contains 5.8S ribosomal RNA, internal transcribed spacer 2, and large subunit ribosomal RNA". The stretch from base 1 to 120 matches the Rfam family "5.8S ribosomal RNA", at positions 35 to 154 of the family's 154-position model. The record is from RNAcentral.
GAUGAAGAACGUAGCGAAAUGCGAUAACUAAUGUGAAUUGCAGAAUUCCGUGAAUCAUCGAGUCUUUGAACGCACAUUGCGCCCCCUGGUAUUCCGGGGGGCAUGCCUGUCCGAGCGUCAUUGCUGCCCAUCAAGCACGGCUUGUGUGUUGGGUCCUCGUCCCCCCCGGGGGACGGGCCCGAAAGGCAGCGGCGGCACCGCGUCCGGUCCUCGAGCGUAUGGGGCUUCGUCACCCGCUCUUGUAGGCCCGGCCGGCGCUUGCCGACACAUCAAUCUUUUUUCCAGGUUGACCUCGGAUCAGGUAGGGAUACCCGCUGAACUUAAGCAUAUCAAUAAGCGGAGGA